AAUGUUUGUGGUUGUAUAUUUUCAGCUGACUCUGUUCUAUUUUAGUUAGGUUUUAAAAUACAUUUAUACCACUCCUUCAUGUGUCCGCAUUCAAUUGAAAUGGAAUAAAAACCGGCUCCAUUUUGCUAUUGUAGAAGAGUCUUGUUUUCGGCUUUCAUAGUAUAUGUUAUAGUUACUGGUACAACGUGGUUCUAAGAAAAGGAAACAAUGUUCAGAGUGGAAAUUUUCCUUAUUGGUAUUGCAGUUUUCUAUGUACUCGGUAAACAGGAGGGAACGUCCUGUAGUGCAGAUAAUAAGGACACUUGUGAUCCUUGCGGAAUAACUGGAAAAUGGGUGAAUGAGCUUGGAUCGGAGGUCGAAAUUACUUGCAAACUAGAUUUGCCGGAUCGGAAUUCAACAGGAGAAAUCAGCGGAAAGUAUAACAGUGCAGUAGGUGCUGCUAAAGAUUAUUAUCCUCUAUCUGGAAGAUUUACAAUUCCUGAUCAGGAUCCAAAGAAUUGUAUCGUAGGAUUUGUGGUAGCAUGGAACAAUGAAGCAUAUGGUAACUCGAAUUCUACAAGUAGCUUUACGGGAAUGUAUUAUAAAGAUACCGAUAAAAUAUAUACCUUCUGGAUACUGACUAGUUACAAGAAAUAUACAGAUAUGUGGGAGAACAGCAACAUUGGAAAGAAUGUCUUUACCAGAAUUCCUAUUAAAUAAACGAAUAAUGCUACGUAAUAUUUUCCAUCUAAACAAGAAAAUUGUUUGAAUAAUUCCAUUCUUUUUUUCAAAUAUUAAAACAGAUUAACUGUUA
This is a long non-coding RNA of Mytilus californianus (California mussel), 793 nucleotides long. RefSeq lists it as uncharacterized. NCBI's taxonomy places the organism in Eukaryota, Metazoa, Mollusca, Bivalvia, Mytilida, Mytilidae. The transcript has 3 exons. The record is from RefSeq and is a predicted model, not a curated record.